CUUUCUGUUUCUAGAGGAAGAUGGGCCUGGCUGCAGGGAACUGAGACAAGUGCCACCCACCCAGGCUGACAUCCAGCAUGGACGUACUCCGGCGAAUCCCACCAUAGAGAUUCCCUUUCAUCACAACAGCCCAGCUCGGUGUUUGUCAAGCAGCUUGAAAGCUCAGAACUGCAAACGGCCUCGCAAACAUGCUCUGUAUCCCCAUGCCCUGGGCCUGGCCUAUAGCUCCCCAUUGGAACCACACAAUCAGUGCCCCUGCCCUGCACUUUGCUGCCUGCUUGCAUUGGUUCUCUGACAUGUCGCCUUCUCGGGGCCCUGAGUCAGAAAUCCAGCAUGCGGCUGCCCAUUGGGCCUUCCCCAGACAUUACGAAACAAACAAUGGGACUCACGUGAAAUGAGGUCGAAGCACUUCCUAUCAUCCGGGUUCGGCUUCACUUGGCAAGUCAGCAAAUUCAGCUUGGCUGGUGGGCGGUUUAGCUAGUGGAUGGAAGAUGGAUCCUUAGUACUUGCAGCAUUGCUAGGACAGCAACCCCUGGGGGCAGGUCCCUGCCAUGCUCCCAAGCAAUUAGGGCCAUUGAGGCAGGGAACAGGGAGGAAGAACUUCCCAGCGGUUAGGGACAAACCUGAACUUGGCAGACUCAAGUUCAAGACCCUGCUCUGUAAGAGCCUGCCGAUGUGAGCCUGGGGAAGUCACUUAGUCUCUCCAGCCUCAGUUCCCCUCUGUCCACGGGGAUAACAGCCCUGCCCUGCCUCCCAUGGGAGCUGUGAGGGGAAAUCCAUUGAAGCCUGUGAGCACUCAGCUAGGCCAGUGACAGGGGCCAGACAGAACGCAGUGGGCCUUUCCAGUAACCCAGGCACAUUGUUCUUGCUGGUGCUGUCAUCAAUAACAAUAAAAGAAAUCACAGCAAUGCUCCCCCUUUCCCCUGCUCCUGGAUGCUUGGUGCACUCUCCAUGCAGGCUCUCAGGCUGGGCAAGACCCUAGUGCCUUUGCCUGUGGUCCACUGAGGGCACAGGGACUCCAGCCUCAAUGGAAAGACUCCAGUGGGCACUGGGUCAGGCCAGCAGCAUGGGGCUGGAGAAGAUCACACUCCAGGGUUUCUAGUCAGGCUCAGGAAAAGCCACUAGACUCACUGUGGGUAACAAU
Molecule: long non-coding RNA, 1144 nt
Organism: Mauremys reevesii (Reeves's turtle)
Lineage: Eukaryota; Metazoa; Chordata; Testudines; Geoemydidae
Exons: 2
Source: RefSeq, a predicted model, not a curated record